AUGUCUACAACAUCAGGCUAUAUUGCAGUUCCUUGUUGUCCGGUGAUUUUUGAUGGCACCAACUACAUCGAGUUCGUUGCCUUCAUGCGCAUUCAUAUGCGUGGCAUUUGUCUGUGGGCCGUUCUUCCUGGCGAGGUCCGUUGUCCGCCGUGCCCGGUUCCUCCUGUGGCCCCUACUUUGUCGACACCACCGGUUGUUGCUGCGGAUGCUACUCAGGCUGUGAAGGAUGUAGCUAAGCUUGUUGAUGAUGCCGCCGUUCGUGCUUAUGAUGAGCAGGUUUUGACUUAUGAGGAGGCUCUUCACACGUAUCACGAGGCUUUGUCUGCUUAUACUCAGUGGCUUGUUGAUGAUGCUCGUGCCCCAGCUAUUCUCACUGCUAGCGUUCUGCCUCAGUUUGUCUCUGAGUUCUUGGGCCUCCCUACCGUAUUUGAGAUGUGGAUCCGUCUUCGUCAGCGCUACCAGCCCUCUCGUGAUGCCUUGUACCUAUUUGUGGUCCGCCAGGAGCAUGCUCUUCAGCAGGGUGACUCCACUGUUGAUGAUUUCUAUGCACAGAGUUUUGCUAUCUGGCGUCAGCUUGAUUCUCUUCGCAGUGCUGGUUGUCGUAUUUGCCAGUGUUGCCACUGCUGGUUUGGAGUUUCAUCGUGUCUACGAGUUCUUAUCUUGGCUCCGUAA
Molecule: ribosomal RNA, 672 nt
Filed under: Triticum aestivum (bread wheat)
Lineage: Eukaryota; Viridiplantae; Streptophyta; Magnoliopsida; Poales; Poaceae
Description: partial small subunit ribosomal RNA
Source: RNAcentral